CUACGGGCGGCAGCAGUGGGGAAUAUUGCACAAUGGGGGAAACCCUGAUGCAGCAACGCCGCGUGGAGGAUGACGCAUUUCGGUGUGUAAACUCCUUUUAUUUAGGAAGAAAUUUGACGGUACUAAAUGAAUAAGCACCGGCUAACUCCGUGCCAGCAGCCGCGGUAAUACGGAGGGUGCAAGCGUUACUCGGAAUCACUGGGCGUAAAGGACGCGUAGGCGGUUUGAUAAGUUGGAUGUGAAAUCCUAUGGCUUAACCAUAGAACUGCAUCCAAAACUGUCAGACUAGAGGGAGGGAGAGGUGAAUGGAAUUAGUGGUGUAGGGGUAAAAUCCGUAGAGAUCACUAGGAAUACUCAUAGCGAAGGCGAUUCACUGGAACUUUACUGACGCUGAGGCGUGAAAGCAUGGGGAGCAAACAGGAUUAGAUACCCCCGUAGUC
Molecule: ribosomal RNA, 440 nt
Filed under: uncultured bacterium
Lineage: Bacteria
Description: partial 16S ribosomal RNA
Rfam family: Bacterial small subunit ribosomal RNA
Source: RNAcentral